Ornithodoros turicata is the source of this 3022-nucleotide long non-coding RNA. RefSeq lists it as uncharacterized. Lineage: Eukaryota; Metazoa; Arthropoda; Arachnida; Ixodida; Argasidae. The transcript has 3 exons. The record is from RefSeq and is a predicted model, not a curated record.
UGUGUGCUCGGUUGCUCCUCAGUCCCCCCGCCCGCUCAGUUUCUGCCUGCCUCUCGGAUGGAGCAGUCGCACCCGUCGUCGCGGGGGAAAAGACCUAUGAUGGUAGCGCCAUCUGGUGUGACGUCUUGGAAGUAGGUGACCACCUGUCGUCGAUCUCUGCAACUACCUGACGACAACAAGCGCUGGUCACUCCCGAGCGGUCUCUUCGCCACGGUGUCGUUGAUUUUCGAAUAUUUUUUUUCUCUCCACCCUAUUUCCAUCUCCAUUGUGGGCCAGUUGAGCUGGUAAUAUACCACUUUUCAUACCCAGGAGUUCACCUAGAAGAUAACAGAAGGAUCCUAGAUGAAAUGUCGCUACAAUGCAGCACUCAGGCGGGACGAAGGUCGGUUAAAACAAGAAGACAAACGUAUCUGCAACCACGUUUUAACCGCCCUCGUCCCGUCUGAGUGCUGCGUUCUAGCGACGUGAACUAUCACCAACUCCCCCUGCUCCUGGAUGAAAUUUCAGAUUAGAAAGUUAUCCCAGAAGGAUAACAUCAGAUGACACUUGAUGGAUUGCCCAUAUGGUGUCUGCAGGACGUUCCGAGGACAUUCUCAGAAAAAUAGGGACAUGAUAACACUUUGAGGGCACCCUGAGGACUCUAUGAGUCGUUAGAGAGAUGAGUGUUACGCAAAUCUCGUGACAGUCUGUCAUGAAGUUGGUCCGGGGCGUAGAUCAUCCUGAGGGCAGGCAUAACAUCUAAACAUAUAUCAAGAGAAAGGGAGAGAUGGAAAUAUAGCCGUACCUGUAAAUAUUGACUGUUACAGGAGACGGAACGCACUUGAACAUCACGAUACGCUUGGAUACCAUUGUGAAUGUCGUCGUAGCUUCCGUUGCUUCAAUCAUCAUUCUUGGCUUCCUGCUCCUUUGCUACAGCAGUAAGAGAACACGGGUAGGUAUCACCAAGGCGUCUCUGAGUAAAACUGAUGAGCCUCCAACUCACAAAAAUUAGCCCAAUGUCCAGGAGGAGAAUGAAUGGGAAGACAUGCUAAGAGAAAUGCACAAGGCGAUAGACGAAAGGAGUCAUAUUCAAGUGCAACAAUGUCUUCGAAUGCUACGACACCUCAGAUUGUGGCUACACCCAGACACCGGCGAGUCAGCCAUGCACAGAGCAAUCAAGAGCAACUCUUUCUAUAUAUAUGGAUUGCUUCUGUCGCACGAGUGUGAUUUCAGAAGUAAGAAAGAAUGGAAAUGCUUGAAAAGUCUAAACAGGAUUCAACGGUCGGAACUUCAAAGACAACGACUAUUCGUGACGAAAUACGACGACUCUUAUGUAAAUCACCUGAAAGCUCGAACGGAAAGUCAAAUGAACUCUCAAGGCUUCGGAAAGUAUGUUGACAAAAUGUUCAAAGCACUGGACAACAUUGAGUUAGUUCGACCUAUUCUGCAAGUAGCUGCCACUGCACAUCAUCUGAGAAUCCGAUUCGACUUCGACAGAGGUGACGUCCAAACCAUGACGGGAUGCCGUUAUAGCGUCAAUCUUGAAAUAACAGAUACUGCAAAAGAUGAAGUUUUUAUCGCAGCCAAUCCGAAAGUAACAUUCGACGCAGACGUCCUGGGAACAUUAGUGCACGAGCUGUGCCACUUUCCUCUUCGUCUGGUGUCAGGAACGGGGAUAUACCCUACUGUUGCACUGAUCUAGAGAGAAAACGUAGAUACGAUGACAUCAUUCAAGGCAUUAGGAAGAAACGAAAAGGAUUAGACAAAAUAAUCAAGAUGGCACUUGAUAAUGCACCGGAGAAGGAACUGAUAGUCCGGAUGCCCCACAUACUUGCUCUGCGAGGCGGUCCUGGAAAAGGCGACGCCAUCCUGAGAGGUCAGACACCGGAGCUCCUCGAAUUCUACAGUGAACUUGUUACAUCUGAGAUGGCAAAGUACAUCAAGAAUGCAUGCUCCAGUAAAGACACAGAAAACAUUAAGAUAGAAAACGUGAGGCUUCAAAAAGCAGAUAAGACGGAGAAGCUCAAUGUAACCUUCACGGAACCCAUGAAGCACCAGGACCUAAAGGAUGUUCCCCUCCUCAUUCUUACAGGUCCAGAGCUGUUGUUGCUUGAGAUCCUUGUCCACGAUGCGCUCAAGUCUACGGGACAGCCGUACUUAUUUUUCGAAGCAUCCCAGUGGGACGACACGCUGGCAGAUGUCUUGACUGAAAACAAAUGUAACUUCGUUCUUCUAACCUGCAACGAUAGCAGAAAACUACGCACCAUAUUCGAGCUUCUCAGCGAAGUUUCACCAGUGAUUGGCACAAGAGUAAUCCUGCUUGUACCUCGUGGACACAAACAUUACUUUCUGAGAGAGGAACAACAGGAUGGUUUUUUUUUUCUUUUUUAGAACAGCUCAUUCUUUCGUGUACAUAUGAAUCGUUCCUUCGCUUAUAUAGACAAGGCUUGCUUCGGGAAAAUUGCAGAGAAGCGUAAGGUUCUCAGUAAGUCACACAUACUAUUUCAGGGCGCCGACUAUCGGCCACUAAUUGAUGAGAUGAUUAACUUGGACAACUUUGUAAACUUUAUUAACGCCACUGCAUUCCUAAAGUUAUGCCAGUCCAAGUAUAUCGAAGUAGCGCCACAACUUAGCAAAGUGGCACAAGACGUGAAUGAUUACUACGUCAGGCGACGCUUGACCUUCGGAGUACUUGGUGAAGAUUAUGGCGAAGGGUACCUCUCGGAGACACAGGAGAAAGUUGUGGCUGUCUGUGGCCUCCCUGGAACGGGCAAGAGCGCCUUGGCGUCGAGGCUUUCAGUACAGAUAAAAAACAUUGAUGUGAAGAAUUGGGUAUUGCAUGUGUACCUUCCACGGAGAAUUGGACUUGUCAAUUUAGCAAAUGGCGUCAGAGACUUACAUCAAUUGGCCCUUCUGUGCAACGUAGAAACUAAAGGACCGGAAUUUAAAUUGUUUGAGCAUUGUGUGCAAAAUGACACUCCGGUCAAGAUUGUGAUCAUUUUUGAUGCUUUUGACAAAAUCAAAAAAGAAUGCCGUGAGUACA